GUGACCUCCCGGGAAGUCCU
RNAcentral lists this small nuclear RNA (20 nucleotides) under Arabidopsis thaliana (thale cress). RNAcentral describes it as "snRNA_15620". Lineage: Eukaryota; Viridiplantae; Streptophyta; Magnoliopsida; Brassicales; Brassicaceae. The record is from RNAcentral.